This 1013-nucleotide long non-coding RNA is filed under the name Homo sapiens (human). RNAcentral describes it as "non-protein coding LINC01508:4". Lineage: Eukaryota; Metazoa; Chordata; Mammalia; Primates; Hominidae. The record is from RNAcentral.
GACGACGCGGGUGGGGAGAGACUGUGCACCUACACGUGUCACUUCACAAAGGCCUCCAGGGGCUUAUGAUCAGGCAAAGGAGACACCAGGAAAGAGGAGCAGAGUGGCUAGGGCAGUGCACUGCAGAUGCAUGGACGAAAGCUCGCAGCGACACAGGUAUGGGGUGUCUAAUCAGGGAUGAGUGUGAGCAGCAGAAUGAGGAGCAUGCUUUCCCAGAGGAAGAGAGGAAGCCACUGGAGAGAUGAAGGAUGCCAUGGACAGGAGGUGGUGUCUCUGGAGCCGCCGAGCAGCAGCCUCAUUGCUCAGAAGAUGAAGAUGCUGACGAAGACCCAGACAGGAAAAAAGGAAGAAAAAGCAUCCUGAUUGUUCCAUUAGCAAAGCCACAGUCCCGGAGAGCAAGGGGAGGGGCACAGCAGGCAGCCGCACCCAUGGGAUGCAUCUGCAGCUUGUGAGCAAUGCAUGAAAGAUGAAUCACACAGCAGCAAUGCCUUCAGCUUCCGUGUGCUAUGGCUCACUCAGCACCAGCUCUGCAGGCUGCCUAAGCCAGAAGUCAGUCUCUGCCUUUAGACUUGCUCACUUCUUUUAGGAACGGAGAUAUCCUCUGAUCCCUUGUCCUACAACCUCGAUUAAUAUCUUUCCAACAGCCAUCUGCCAAACUCAAGAAGACCCUGGAACAACCUAAUUGGAAAAGUUUCCAUCUUAUCCCUUGGAAAACUAUAGAAAAGUAGUGUCACACAAAUGUUUAAUUUCUGAUUUCUACAAUUUCAGAUACCAGAGUUUAUCUGUUACCAUGACAACUAACAGCUUUAUAAAUGUUUUCUAGCCUCUGCUAUUUUCUGGAACUUAUCUACAUUUCAGUAUUUGCUUAAUAAUUUUGAGCUGACACUAGCAACAUAAUUGUGUCUGGAUUGUGUAUGUGUAUGUCUUGUGUGUGUUGGCAGGGGGUGGGUAUAACCUAUGUCAGUGUUUUUCAAUGUGAGCAAAUUUUAAUAAACUUUUAUAUUUAAUGUGAA